Molecule: ribosomal RNA, 114 nt
Filed under: Danio rerio (zebrafish)
Lineage: Eukaryota; Metazoa; Chordata; Actinopteri; Cypriniformes; Danionidae
Source: RNAcentral
UGCCACAUCUAUAUCACCCUGCAGCCCAAGACUUUACUCACGGAGGCUAAGCAGGGCUAAGCCUGGUCAGUACCUGGAUGGGAAACCACAUGGGAAACUAGGUUGCUGUUAGAA